AGAGUUUGAUUCUGGCUCAGGAUGAACGCUGGCGGCGUGCCUAAUACAUGCAAGUCGAACGCAUCUCUUCGGAGAUGAGUGGCGAACGGGUGAGUAAUACAUAGGUAACCUGCCCCUGUGCGGGGGAUAACAGGAGGAAACUCCUGCUAAUACCGCAUAGCCAUGAGCACCGCAUGGAGCUCAUGCCAAAUAUCCUUUCGGGGAUAGCGCAGGGAUGGACCUAUGGCGCAUUAGCUAGUUGGCGGGGCAACGGCCCACCAAGGCAACGAUGCGUAGCCGGCCUGAGAGGGCGGACGGCCACAUUGGGACUGAGACACGGCCCAGACUCCUACGGGAGGCAGCAGUAGGGAAUUUUCGGCAAUGGGGGAAACCCUGACCGAGCAACGCCGCGUGAGCGAAGAAGGCCUUCGGGUCGUAAAGCUCUGUUGUAAAGGAAGAACGUCGUACACAGGAAAUGGUGUGCGAGUGACGGUACUUUACCAGAAAGCCACGGCUAACUACGUGCCAGCAGCCGCGGUAAUACGUAGGUGGCGAGCGUUAUCCGGAAUCAUUGGGCGUAAAGAGGGAGCAGGCGGCCGCAAGGGUCUGUGGUGAAAGACCGAAGCUAAACUUCGGUAAGCCAUGGAAACCGGGCGGCUAGAGUGCGGAAGAGGAUCGUGGAAUUCCAUGUGUAGCGGUGAAAUGCGUAGAUAUAUGGAGGAACACCAGUGGCGAAGGCGACGGUCUGGGCCGCAACUGACGCUCAUUCCCGAAAGCGUGGGGAGCAAAUAGGAUUAGAUACCCUAGUAGUCCACGCCGUAAA
This 802-nucleotide ribosomal RNA is filed under the name uncultured bacterium. RNAcentral's name for it is "bacterial SSU rRNA". It matches the Rfam family "Bacterial small subunit ribosomal RNA", at positions 8 to 806 of the family's 1533-position model. The record is from RNAcentral.